This 253-nucleotide ribosomal RNA is filed under the name uncultured bacterium. RNAcentral describes it as "partial 16S ribosomal RNA". It matches the Rfam family "Bacterial small subunit ribosomal RNA", at positions 524 to 776 of the family's 1533-position model. The record is from RNAcentral.
UACGAACUGUGCAAACGUUAUUCGGAAUCACUGGGCUUAAAGGGCGCGUAGGCGGCGUGGUAAGUCACUUGUGAAAUCUCUGAGCUUAACUCAGAACGGCCGAGUGAUACUGCUGUGCUAGAGUGCAGAAGGGGCAAUCGGAAUUCUUGGUGUAGCGGUGAAAUGCGUAGAUAUCAAGAGGAACACCUGAGGUGAAGACGGGUUGCUGGGCUGACACUGACGCUGAUGCGCGAAAGCCAGGGGAGCAAACGGG